Long non-coding RNA from Biomphalaria glabrata, 1523 nucleotides. RefSeq lists it as uncharacterized. The record is from RefSeq and is a predicted model, not a curated record. The transcript is spliced from 3 exons. Lineage: Eukaryota; Metazoa; Mollusca; Gastropoda; Planorbidae.
GAAUGUUUAGGGCUCAGCUAUAAGGUAACUCUGAGUGAAUGUUUAGGGCUCAGCUAUGAGGUAACUCUGAGUGAAUGUUUAGUUUUAGUACUCAGUUAUAAGGUAACUCUGAGUGAAUGUUUAGAGCUCAGCUAUAAGGUAACUCUGAGUGAAUGUUUAGGGCUCAGCUGUAGAUUAGGGUGAAUGUUUAGUUUUAGGGUUCAGCUAUAAAGUAACUCUGAAUGAAUGUUUAGUUUUAGUACUCAGCUAUAAGGUAACUCUGAGUGAAUGUUUAGGGCUCAGCUAUAAGGUAACUCUGAGUGAAUGUUUAGGGCUCAGCUGUAGAUUAGGGUGAAUGUUUAGUUUUAGGGUUCAGCUAUAAGGUAACUCUGAGUGAAUGUUGUGUUAUAGCUCAUCUAGAAGGUAACUCUGAGAGUCUGAGUGAAUAUUUAGUAAUAGACCUCAGCUAUAAAGUAACUUUGGGUGAAUGUUUAGUUAAAGUACAAACUUCAGCUAUAACGUAACUCUGAAUGAAUGUUAAGUCUUAGUCUAUAGCCAAAUUAUAUGGUAACUCUAUUGAAACUUGUCACAGAUAUGUGUGUGUGUGUGUGAGCAAAGUUAAUUAUUUUGUAAGGUGUUUCCACGGCUCACCGACAGACUUGACAGUACAGACAAAGGGUAGGAAUAGUGUGACACUUAGAUUUAUACCUCGUAAGGCGACUGGAUACCCGUAGGAUGGGUCAGACACGGAGAAUUUAGUAGCGUUAGUUCAGGCGUGGGUUAGGGUCUCAGCCUUUAUAGAGUAGAGUUUUGGGGCAGUCGGGACACAGCGCCAUGUAGUGUUAGCAGGGGCGUGUGUCGUGUGCUAGGCGUUUUCGGGUGAACGACACAUACAGACAUUGGGAGAAAGUCGCCGAGGCUGGCUCGCGAUCUUGGCUCCAAUAGGUGUGAGUUGUUUGCCAGAGACAACAUGUAGGAACUAAUUCUUAGGGACCAGGAGUGACAGUCUUGGUGAGUCUUAGUGAGUCUUAGUGAAUCUUAGUGACAGUCUGAGUGACAGGCAGUUCGUAGUCAAUGUCAGUCACAGUCCGAAAGCGGUAGAUGGCAGUCUGGGUGGCAGUCUUGAGCAUGUGGCAGUCUAGCGUAGAGACACAGAAUAGAUGUUAGCGACAGUGGCGUAGCCAGCAAGACAAUGAACGACAUGCAGUGAUUGACAUCAGAUGACAUGGACUGCGGUACUGAACUCUGAUGCAGUCUGCGGCGCUGGGUCCAGUGCAUGGAGGAUGGAGUAGCCGUGGUGGUCUGAUUGGCAUGGGUGAUUUAUUGCUGUAUUGUUGAUUAUGUCUUUAUUGUUUAUUAUGUUAACAGAUAUCAUAGUUUUAUUAGUACAUAGUAUUGAAGCCACUUGUCUUAUGUUAUUAAUUUUAAGUUAUUCAUAAAAUAUGUUUGUAGUUAUCAAUUCAUUUCAUCAAUCUAUCAUUACAUUUAUUACAUUAUUUUAAAGUAGCCAUCCAUGCCUAUUUAGAACAUUAAAUAUUAGUUUU